UGAGUGUUUCUUUACCCAAAAACAUUCAAAUGGCAUUACCCUGGCAACAUUUCACAGUAAUUAGUACUGCAACUGAAUCAACCAAUACUCCGACCCAUCCUCCAAGAUGGAAUAUAUCCAAACCUAAUUGGAUAAUAUUAUUCACCUGAAUGAAUAUCACCCGCUGAGUCCACACUAAUUGAAUAAUGAGAAAAAACACCGAGAAUCGUUUGCUUUGUCUCUUCAGUACCAAAUCUUGUAAUGUACUCCUAGUCGUUAAUCACAGCUCUCCUAAACUGUAGUUGUCCUGCUUGUAACCUUUCAGUAGCCUAUUGGUACCUGCUGGCCACCUGUUCCUCACGUUGCUGCCCUUGAGACAGUUUGACGUCAGCUCCCCCAAGCAGCGGCAGAUCUCACCCAGGGGGGUGACUUGCGCUCUCCUCCUCAGUCUCCCACUUCCCCCUCCUCAAUACCUAGGUUUCAGUAUUGUUUCUGUUUCCCUGAAACUAGGCCAUAUCCUUGUAAUGGUACAAUUUUUGUUGUUGUCUAGCAUUCCGUGUAAGUCAUCAUCAUGUUUAUGGUGUGAUGGCGGCAAUUAGCAACUCUCACGUUCUGAAUUGUUCCUCUUUCUCUCCCACUCUGGUUCUCUGUCGCUCCUCUAUUUUCUCCCCUGCUGUGUUAGCUGGGUUAAUCAGUUCAGUCAGGGAUCAGCCUCUUGGGCCUGAGCUCAAUUUGUCCAACAUCUCACCAGGUUAAUUUCAGGAAUGUGUUUGGUCAGUUGUUCUGUGAUAUAUAACAUAGAUACAUUAGAAAUGUACCACACCAACCAAUAAUAGUGUCUUUAGAUCUGGAGGACAUCAACAGAAUUUGGAGAGUUCCUUGAAAUCUUUUCUCAGCAGCACAGACCUGAGUUCUGCAUUCCACGAGAACAGCGACUGUUCAGCCCUUAUUUUAGACAUCCAGAAGUAAAAAGCUGUUGAGAAUCUUUGUGUGUCCAUGAGAGAUUACCGCACCCUAAAACUGCCUGGAAGUGUGUUUCAUGGCCAAGCACCCAGAGACCAAGUUUGAUUUCCUUUUGUCCACGCAACAUAUCUACACCAUAAUAAACUCUGUGUCUGCGUUGAGUAAACAAGCUGAAGGCUACACACAUUUUUGUCAGGAUGUGUCAAACUAAGUACAACCUUAUCCUGUCGUUUUAGUGAAGGCCUUCCAUAUUUCCCUUUCAUACAAAAAGAAGGGCAAACGUAUAUCUUUUUUAAUAAUCCUUGCACUAAAUCAGAACAGUAGAUUGCUUAAAACAUGUCCGUCCAUAAUAAUUAACAUAGCCUUGUCAUCGUUCUGCAGCCUGAAAGUUGUCUCCAUUGGGUGCUGUGUUCUAGCCCUCUACUAUGUUUCUUUGCUUUCCACCCUCCAGGUGAAGGUGUGCUUUGAUGACGCCCAGCUGGAGCAAAUGUGCGAGUACCCAUCAGAGAGCUCCCUGCUGGCUUCGACCCCCUCUCUGCCGAGUCAAGAGAAAGCAAAGGAGAACGAGGUGCAGGAGGAAGAUGAGGAGGAGAGAGGAGCAUUUGUGUCUAGGAGCAGGAAUGUAGGGACGGCAGCUGGCCUCCGAGUGCUGAGAGUAGAUGAGUCUUGCCAUCGGUAGACGUCAGCUGGCCAAAUUGCCCAAAUAAAGUGAUUCAAGAUUUUAUUUGAACUAGUAAUAUGAUCAUACUUUUAUUGUAUUUGUCUGGGUGAAAACGAUUGAUUAAAUGUUUGUAUUAUUUUUGGAUGUACAGUGUUUUACUUUACAUAGGAUCAGGGGUUAUCAGUUUGUAUGAAAAAAAGAUUUCAUGCCAUUUCUAAUAUGAUUUGUGGUGUUGGAGCUUGUAUUGGAGCAAGACUGGCACAAAAUGUCAGCUUAUCAAACAGUAAAGUGCAUAGGACACGGGGAAACAUGUUGCAUAGUAUAGCCUAUAGGUUUGAAUGUUCUGAAUUCAAGUGAAGUAUGUGUACCAUCAGGCAGGUACUGUUGGGUGAUGAUCACGUGUCUAUGCAAGUUAGUUGAAGAAAAGAGAACAGCAACGGUUUAGUUUCAUGUAGCUUAGUUCAAUAACAUAAAGGCACCUAUUGUAUAUGAAGUCUUUAUCUGCACUAUAAGAACAGUAUUGUUCCCUAUUCACUGCACUAAUUUUGUCAGAGCCCUAUGCAAAAGGGAAUAGUUUGUCAUUUCAGACUAAACCUAAUGAUGUUUAUAUCAUCGGGUCCAUGUGCCUGCUGGAUUUGCUCAUACACAUGAUAUAAAGAUCAGGUAAGUCUAGGAUUAAUUUUGAGCCUUGUUAACAACACCCAUAUGUAGUUUCUGGCGAUCUUUGGCGAGUUGAUAAGACAACAUUAUGACCAUUCCAUUUUGUUCAACGACUGUUUCUGUUAGAACUACAAAAUGGGUUUAAGCCUGCCUUAAUGCAAACUAGUGAAAACCCUGGCGACAUGCAAUGAUCAGUGAUCACCUAUAUAUGUUUUUAGUUAUGUAUUAAUCUGUAUUAUUAUGGAUGCAUGUUUCUGAAUGGAAAUUGUAUUAUUUCUCUUCUGGUAGUAUAUGAGAAUACAAAGCACAUUCAAAAUAAUGGGAUGUUAACAUACCAUCUCAUGGAGCCAUGAUAUCUCAACUUUGGGUGCACUUUUUAUAUGAGAAUCUAUAUGAAGAAUCUAGGCUAUGCUUCCACAUGGGCAAUUGUAGUAGUUUAUUCUUGCUGUUUUAUAUUGUGGUUGAAGAAGCUGGCUUCGUGUGUGGAGAAAAAUAACCGAAU
Long non-coding RNA from Esox lucius (northern pike), 2765 nucleotides. NCBI's taxonomy places the organism in Eukaryota, Metazoa, Chordata, Actinopteri, Esociformes, Esocidae. The record is from Ensembl.